GAUGAACGCUGGCGGCGUGCCUAAUACAUGCCAGUCGAGCGAACGGACGAGAAGCUUGCUUCUCUGAUGUUAGCGGCGGACGGGUGAGUAACACGUGGAUAACCUACCUAUAAGACUGGGAUAACUUCGGGAAACCGGAGCUAAUACCGGAUAAUAUUUUGAACCGCAUGGUUCAAAAGUGAAAGACGGUCUUGCUGUCACUUAUAGAUGGAUCCGCGCUGCAUUAGCUAGUUGGUAAGGUAACGGCUUACCAAGGCAACGAUGCAUAGCCGACCUGAGAGGGUGAUCGGCCACACUGGAACUGAGACACGGUCCAGACUCCUACGGUAGGCAGCAGUAGGGAAUCUUCCGCAAUGGGCGAAAGCCUGACGGAGCAACGCCGCGUGAGUGAUGAAGGUCUUCGGAUCGUAAAACUCUGUUAUUAGGGAAGAACAUAUGUGUAAGUAACUGUGCACAUCUUGACGGUACCUAAUCAGAAAGCCACGGCUAACUACGUG
RNAcentral lists this ribosomal RNA (497 nucleotides) under uncultured bacterium. Its description in RNAcentral is "partial 16S ribosomal RNA". It matches the Rfam family "Bacterial small subunit ribosomal RNA", at positions 28 to 507 of the family's 1533-position model. The record is from RNAcentral.